UGGGGAAUUUUGGACAAUGGGGGAAACCCUGAUCCAGCCAUCCCGCGUGUGCGAUGAAGGCCUUCGGGUUGUAAAGCACUUUUGGCAGGAAAGAAACGUCAUGGGUCAUUACCCCGUGAAACUGACGGUACCUGCAGAAUAAGCACCGGCUAACUACGUGCCAGCAGCCGCGGUAAUACGUAGGGUGCAAGCGUUAAUCGGAAUUACUGGGCGUAAAGCGUGCGCAGGCGGUUCGGAAAGAAAGAUGUGAAAUCCCAGAGCUCAACUUUGGAACUGCAUUUUUAACUGCCGGGCUAGAGGAUGUCAGAGGGAGGUGGAAUUGCGCGUGUAGCAGUGAAAUGCGUAGAUAUGCGGAGGAAAACCGAUGGCGAAGGCAGCAUCCUGGGAUAACACUGACGAUCAUGCACGAAAGCGUGGGGAGCAAACAGG
Molecule: ribosomal RNA, 429 nt
Filed under: Acidobacteriota bacterium
Lineage: Bacteria; Pseudomonadati; Acidobacteriota
Description: Acidobacteria bacterium partial 16S ribosomal RNA
Rfam family: Bacterial small subunit ribosomal RNA
Source: RNAcentral